GAGGGUAUAGCUCAGUGGUAGAACGCAGUACUUAGCAUGCACGAGGUCCUGGGUUCAAUCCCUGGUACCUCCA
RNAcentral lists this transfer RNA (73 nucleotides) under Camelus dromedarius (Arabian camel). It matches the Rfam family "tRNA". From Rfam's summary of the family: Transfer RNA (tRNA) molecules are approximately 80 nucleotides in length. RNAcentral also lists the same sequence under 1 other name. Lineage: Eukaryota; Metazoa; Chordata; Mammalia; Artiodactyla; Camelidae. The record is from Rfam by way of RNAcentral.